AAAUGAGCAUCGACAGUGAGCAAAACCGUGUGGUCAAAUGGUUCGUAAAUAUGAUUCGGAUCAAAUUCUUGUGUGAUGGCGGAUGUAAUUUCGAAACUAAGUGAAACAGCUUUGGAAAAGGCUGGAAACAACGAAAAAAGACAAAAUAUUUACAACAAAGAUACCGUGAAGUGUACGAAAACGGCUUUAGUUAGAUUGCUCUGCGGCCAAGUGAGGUCUACGUGUGACAUCAAUCAAUUGGUAGUUUUUUAUUGAUUUUAUUGUUCAAGUAUAUUACUGGUGGUGGAUGAGCUUGAAUUUUAAUUAAUUUUUAGCAACGGUGUGACCAACAACAACGUUAGGCUUUUCCAAAACGAAUUUUAUUUGCAAAAUAGGCAAUGUGCGUGAGUGUGUGUGUGUGUGUGUGAAUGUUAUUUUAAAAUGCGUACAAUAUUGCUCGAUUCCAUGCGAAACGAAGAAUGGGCCAAAUGGGGAUAAUAUAAUUAAUUUGGUGCUCUCUUGGUGACCUUGUUACUCUA
Molecule: long non-coding RNA, 518 nt
Organism: Sitodiplosis mosellana (orange wheat blossom midge)
Lineage: Eukaryota; Metazoa; Arthropoda; Insecta; Diptera; Cecidomyiidae
Exons: 3
Source: RefSeq, a predicted model, not a curated record